This 438-nucleotide ribosomal RNA is filed under the name uncultured bacterium. RNAcentral describes it as "partial 16S ribosomal RNA". It matches the Rfam family "Bacterial small subunit ribosomal RNA", at positions 355 to 781 of the family's 1533-position model. The record is from RNAcentral.
UGGGGAAUUUUGGACGAAUUGGGGGCAACCGUGAUCCAGCAAUGCCGCGUGUGUGAAGAAGGCCUUCGGGUUGUAAAGCACUUUUGUCCGGAAAGAAAACGCCGUGGUUAAUACCCGUGGCGGAUGACGGUACCGGAAGAAUAAGCACCGGCUAACCACGUGCCAGCAGCCGCGGUAAUACGUAGGGUGCAAGCGUUAAUCGGAAUUACUGGGCGUAAAGCGUGCGCAGGCGGUCCGCUAAGACAGAUGUGAAAUCCCCGGGCUUAACCUGGGAACUGCAUUUGUGACUGGCGGGCUAGAGUAUGGCAGAGGGGGGUAGAAUUCCACGUGUAGCAGUGAAAUGCGUAGAGAUGUGGAGGAAUACCGAUGGCGAAGGCAGCCCCCUGGGCCAAUACUGACGCCUCGAUGCACGAAAGCGUGGGGAGCAAACAGGAAUUC